This 560-nucleotide ribosomal RNA is filed under the name Mellita tenuis. RNAcentral describes it as "partial 16S ribosomal RNA". It matches the Rfam family "Bacterial large subunit ribosomal RNA", at positions 1836 to 2597 of the family's 2925-position model. Lineage: Eukaryota; Metazoa; Echinodermata; Echinoidea; Clypeasteroida; Mellitidae. The record is from RNAcentral.
AAACAUAACAUAGAGAGUCCUGCCUGCCCAGUGACAAAAAGUUAAACGGCCGCGGUAUCUUGACCGUGCGAAGGUAGCAUAAUCACUUGUCUCCUAAAUAGAGACUGGUAUGAAUGGCAAGACGGAACUUAACUGUCUCCUUUUCUUGUAUCUUAAUUUCACUUUCCCGUGAAGAGGCGGGAAGAUAUUCGCUAGACGAGAAGACCCUGUCGAGCUUAAGCAAAAUACUAAUUUCUAAUUCCUUUUAAUUGUAUUCUAAUCUUUUUCACUAAAUGCAAUUAAGAGUAAAUUAUUAGUACAAGCUUUGGUUGGGGCAACCGCGGAGAAGAAAAACCCUCCGCUUACAAUAGAUAAAAAUGAGACCCUACAAGUCUAAUAUUGUACAAACAAGUCAACUGAUCCACCACGGUGAUCAAAGGAAAAAGUUACCGCAGGGAUAACAGCGUUAUCUUUUCUGAGAGUUCACAUUGACGAAAAGGUUUGCGACCUCGAUGUUGGAUCGGGACAUCCUAAGGGUGCAGAAGCUUUUAAGGGUUGGUCUGUUCGACCAUUAAAGUCCU